GGAAUCAACGCUGGCGGCGUGCCUAACACAUGCAAGUCGCACGAGAAAGGGGAGCAAUCCCUGAGUAAAGUGGCGCACGGGUGAGUAACACGUGAAUGAUCUACCUCCGAGUGGGGAAUAACUGAGAGAAAUCUUAGCUAAUACCGCAUAACACUUACGAGUCAAAGCAGCAAUGCGCUUGGAGAGGAGUUCGCGGCCGAUUAGUUAGUUGGCGGGGUAAUGGCCCACCAAGACGAUGAUCGGUA
This 245-nucleotide ribosomal RNA is filed under the name uncultured bacterium. Its description in RNAcentral is "partial small subunit ribosomal RNA". It matches the Rfam family "Bacterial small subunit ribosomal RNA", at positions 27 to 285 of the family's 1533-position model. The record is from RNAcentral.